AUGGUAGUCGAGUCCGGGAGAAAUGGGCACGAGUUGGCUCCCUUGAACAACCAUCGCCAACCUGUCCACAACGUGACGAUCGUGGCGACCGGAAGUCAACAUGUUGCCGCCCCCCAGGAGACUAAGGAGGAGAACAGGGCGGCAUGGAGCGGAAAAAUGCAAUUCUUCCUCAGUAUUAUCGGGUACAGCGUCGGUCUGGGCAAUAUAUGGAGGUUUCCUUAUCUGUGCCAACAGAACGGAGGUGGUGCCUUCCUUAUUCCUUUUUUCGUGAUGCUCAUCCUGGAGGGUGUACCCCUUUUCCUGAUCGAGCUGGGUGCCGGGCAACGUAUGCGGCAGGGCGCCCUGGGCGUUUGGAACACAAUACACCCUUGGCUAGGCGGUAUAGGGAUCGCGUCGUGUAUAGUGACGUUUUUCGUUUGUCUUUACUACAACGUAAUUAUUACCUGGUGCGUCUACUACCUCAUCAACUCGCUUGAGGCUGUCACGAUCAAAUUUGGUGAAUCACUGCCGUGGGCAAAAUGCCCGGAAUUGGAUGGAAAGCCGGUCGAGGAAUGUGUCAGGAGUUCGGAGACCGCAUAUUUUUGGUAUAGGACUACUUUGGAUGCGGCACCGUCCAUUGAGGAUGGACAAGGUCUCAAAUGGUGGAUCGUACUUUGUCUCUUGUUCAGCUGGAUCAUUGUGUUUUUCAUCGUCAUGAAGGGAAUACAGUCGUCCGGUAAAGUGGUAUACUUUACAUCCAUGUUUCCGUAUCUCGUGCUGACCAUCUUCUUCAUUCGCGGGAUAACGUUGCGAGGUGCGAGCGCCGGGCUGGCGCAUAUGUACACGCCAAAGGUCGAGAAAUUGGCUGAGCCCAUGGUCUGGCUUGACGCAGCGACCCAGGUCUUCUAUAGCUUCGGGCUGGCGUUCGGCUCCCUGAUCGCGUUCGGCAGCUACAACACUCCUGACAACAACUGCGUGAGGGACGUGAUCCUGGUGAGCGUGUGCAACGCGUUUACUGCCAUUUACGCGAGCGUUGUCAUUUUCGCCAUUUUGGGGUUCAAGGCAAUGUCAAACGUGGACAAGUGCGUCGUCAGUGCGAGGGACACCUUGAUGCAAAAUGGGCUGUUGACUAAUUCGACCCCGUUCAAUCUCGAGGACUAUGAACUUUUUAUGGACAAUUUCAACUCCUCGGCGUGGAACUUCACAAUAGAACCAUGCAGCCUCAGCAAGGAAUUGGACAACGCCGCCGAGGGUACCGGACUAGCUUUCAUCAUAUUCACGCAAGCGAUCGUGGAACUACCGGGAGCGCCGUUUUGGUCUUGCAUUUUCUUCAUGAUGCUCCUAGCUCUCGGCUUGGGUUCGCAAAUCGGACUACUCGAGGGUAUGCUGUGCGUAAUCUUCGACAUAGAUCUUUUCAAGAGAAUAAAGAAGCAAUACAUGACAGGAGUCCUCUGCGUCGUUUGCUUUUUCGUGGGACUUCUCUUUUGUACUGGCGCUGGGGAGUAUUGGCUGAAGAUGUUCGACAGUUUCGCCGGCACCAUCGGCCUCGUUAUAGUCGCCCUGUUGGAAAUGAUCGCCGUGAUUUUCGUGUAUGGCCACGAAAAAUUCACGAAGGACAUCGAAGAGAUGACUGGACAUAAACCUGGACUUUAUUGGCAAAUCACGUGGCGAUUUAUCGCUCCCGCGAUAAUGGGUUGCAUCCUUGUGUUCAGCAUCGGUUCCAUGUUCAUUAAGAAACCGCAAUAUUCGGCGUGGAAUGCGGAAUUGGGUAAGGCUAUACCCACGGAUUAUCCUGGCUGGGUGUUGGGCAUCGCUGUCGUCAUUAUUUUGGCGGGUAUAGCUCCGAUUCCAAUCGUUUUCCUCUUACGUCGGUUCCAAUUGGUGAAACUCGACGUGGAUAUACAUCAAGGCAGUAUUCGACGUAUCGAUACCACCGUUUCUACUAAAGAGAUGAUGGGUGACGUUGACUUGUAGGUAAGCAUCCAUUCUGUCUGUGGUAACGUCGAUUACUCAAUAUCCCCGUAGCUACGUCACACCUUGACGAAUAUCAUGAUCGGCUCGAGGACUUCCCGGAAGAAGAUGAGGACAUUAACAGCGACGAUGAUACGAAUGCCGCACCGACUAUGAGUAGAAUGGCUAACAAAGCAAUGAAGGGUAGGGCCUUCAAAAUGGA
RNAcentral lists this unclassified non-coding RNA (2152 nucleotides) under Monomorium pharaonis (pharaoh ant). RNAcentral's name for it is "sodium- and chloride-dependent transporter XTRP3, transcript variant X1". Lineage: Eukaryota; Metazoa; Arthropoda; Insecta; Hymenoptera; Formicidae. The record is from RNAcentral.